GGAUGAACGCUAGCGGCAGGCUUAAUACAUGCAAGUCGAGGGAUACAGAGAGUUAGCAAUAAUUAUCUGGAAACCGGCAAACGGGUGAGGAACACGUACGAAACUUCCCUUUAUCUGGGGCAUAGCCCGAAGAAAUUCGGAUUAAUACCCCAUAACAUAGAGAUGUGGCAUCACAAUUCUAUUAAAGCUCAGGCGGAUAAAGAUGGUCGUGCGUCCCAUUAGAUAGUUGGCGGGGUAACGGCCCACCAAGUCUACGAUGGGUAGCUGAUGUGAGAGCAUGAUCAGCCACAUGGGCACUGAGACACGGGCCCAACUCCUACGGGAGGCAGCAGUAAGGAAUAUUGGUCAAUGGACGCAAGUCUGAACCAGCCAUGCCGCGUGGAGGAUGAAGGUCCUCUGGAUUGUAAACUUCUUUUAUAGGGGGAGAAACAUCCCGAUUAUUCGGGACUUGACGGUACCCUAUGAAUAAGCACCGGCUAACUCC
Molecule: ribosomal RNA, 484 nt
Filed under: Sphingobacteriales bacterium 'ARUP UnID 327'
Lineage: Bacteria; Pseudomonadati; Bacteroidota; Sphingobacteriia; Sphingobacteriales
Description: bacterial SSU rRNA
Rfam family: Bacterial small subunit ribosomal RNA
Source: RNAcentral